UUUAGGGACCCCCAUGGGGUUCCUCUGCCCCUCCCUCACUGGGAGAUGGACCCCAGCAGUAGCUGGUCUCAGGCUGCUUGGCCAUACUCCACCCCCAUUCUUUGACUUAUCAUCCAUCCUCACCCAGCAUGGGGCCUAAACCUCUCUGUCCUCUCCCGAGGGCAGUACCCGGGCCCUUCUGCCCCUUUGGAGGUGUCACCUCAGGGGCUUCCUCUUGCUGCUGGAUGUCCAUUCCCAUCGGCCCUCCAAACCGUUUUGACAGCACUAGUUCCUGUAUUUUCUCCAAACCUACCAGACAGUGGCCGACCACCAGAAACCACAAGCAUGGCCCUUUUAUUUCUCCAGCAGAAUGUCGCACACACCGAUGCACACGACACCACGCACACCGAUGCACACGACACCACGCACACCGAUGCACACGACACCACGCACUCCGAUGCACACGACACCACACACACUUGAAGGCGUGAACACAAAGCCACUUGAUCUUUCCCGGGAAGGACAGGAGGAUUUAGAGCAUCCACAUGUCUCCCCAGGCCCUGCCUCAGAGUUUGACUUGCUCCCCUCCUCAAAAAAAGGUUCCAGGAGUCCUCUGGUUGCCCUAAGGACUACCUUGGUGUCCCCACAGUGUAACUCAGGCCUAGUCUCAGCGAGGACACAUGCAUCCAGUGCUACAGCCACUGCACCUGGCUCUCAUGGGCACCGGUCUCUGCCCCACUUUCUCGUUUCUAUUGGCAGCACAGCAUAUUGGCACAAAUGCUCAAACACUG
Molecule: long non-coding RNA, 770 nt
Filed under: Rattus norvegicus (Norway rat)
Lineage: Eukaryota; Metazoa; Chordata; Mammalia; Rodentia; Muridae
Description: long non-coding RNA NONRATT023561
Source: RNAcentral